UUAUAUGUGAAGAAAAGAAAUAGUAUCAUAAGGGAAAUUUUCAGAGAAUAGUCUUCUAGGCUGAAAAAGACUUUAGUUGUAACUUAUGAGAAUGCAUCUUUGAGCACUGUCCCGAAAAAAUAUUUUUUAGUAGGAGGCAGCGUGUACGCACGUUAUAGCGUUGAGGUAUGAUUGUACCAAAAAUGAGAUAUUAUAUAUUUUUUUAUAUAAUAAUUAGAGUGGAACCGCGGAAUAUAACUUCUGCCUCUAAA
This 251-nucleotide non-coding RNA is filed under the name Clostridium taeniosporum. RNAcentral describes it as "T-box sequence". It matches the Rfam family "T-box leader". From Rfam's summary of the family: Uncharged tRNA acts as the effector for transcription antitermination of genes in the T-box leader family. T-boxes are found upstream of many aminoacyl-tRNA synthetase genes and some amino acid biosynthetic genes usually in Gram-positive bacteria. Lineage: Bacteria; Bacillati; Bacillota; Clostridia; Eubacteriales; Clostridiaceae. The record is from RNAcentral.